GGGUGUGCGGCAGCGUGGGAGAGCUGCGCCUGCCUGUAAAGCAGGUCAUUGCGAGCAGGUUCGACUCCUGUCACACCCA
RNAcentral lists this transfer RNA (79 nucleotides) under Gloeobacter kilaueensis JS1. Its description in RNAcentral is "tRNA-Tyr (GTA) (tRNA-Tyr-GTA-2-1)". It matches the Rfam family "tRNA". Rfam says of the family: Transfer RNA (tRNA) molecules are approximately 80 nucleotides in length. The record is from RNAcentral. Lineage: Bacteria; Bacillati; Cyanobacteriota; Cyanophyceae; Gloeobacterales; Gloeobacteraceae.